RNAcentral lists this ribosomal RNA (484 nucleotides) under uncultured bacterium. Its description in RNAcentral is "partial 16S ribosomal RNA". It matches the Rfam family "Bacterial small subunit ribosomal RNA", at positions 30 to 507 of the family's 1533-position model. The record is from RNAcentral.
AUUGAACGCUGGCGGCAGGCCUAACACAUGCAAGUCGAGCGGAUGAAGGGAGCUUGCUCCUGGAUUCAGCGGCGGACGGGUGAGUAAUGCCUAGGAAUCUGCCUGGUAGUGGAGGAUAACGUCCGGAAACGGGCGCUAAUACCGCAUACGUCCUGAGGGAGAAAGUGGGGGAUCUUCGGACCUCACGCUAUCAGAUGAGCCUAGGUCGGAUUAGCUAGUUGGUGGGGUAAAGGCCUACCAAGGCGACGAUCCGUAACUGGUCUGAGAGGAUGAACAGUCACACUGGAACUGAGACACGAUCCUGACUCCUACGGGAGGCAGCAGUGGGGAAUAUUGGACAAUGGGCGAAAGCCUGAUCCAGCCAUGCCGCGUGUAUGAAGAAGGUCUUCGGAUUGUAAAGCACUUUAAGUUGGGAAGAAGGGCAGUAAGUUAAUACCUUGCUGUUUUGACGUUACCAACAGAAUAAGCACCGGCUAACUUCGUG